Molecule: long non-coding RNA, 1338 nt
Organism: Panthera uncia (snow leopard)
Lineage: Eukaryota; Metazoa; Chordata; Mammalia; Carnivora; Felidae
Exons: 5
Source: RefSeq, a predicted model, not a curated record
AAGGCACCAGGCUUUCUCCCAUGCUGUAGGGCCAGUGUCCCCUCCUCCAACACCCAUCUCUACCAGGCUCUCCAGAGCUGCUGGGUAGAGCCUCCCAAAAGCUCAGUGCCCAGCCCCCAUCACCCAGGGGCUGGGUGGCCAAGCUGAGUUAAGCUAGAAAGAACAGGAGAGUUCAGGAAGGAACAUGUGUCUCAGCUAACAGGGCAGGGUAGACUGUGCUGGAACGGUGGAAUAAGCUGAAUGCUGUCUGAACAGGGGCAUGGUGUGACUCCUUCCGAGAGAUCAGAAACGCCACAGAAAGGACAAUGAGGUAGAAGGUACUAAGAACCAGGAGGCAAGGCUCCAGGCUUCAUUCUGUCAUGACCGGGUGGACGCCAGGAGCUGGCCCUAGUGAUGUUUGCAUUUGAACAACAGUGAGAUUGGGUGUCAGCUGCCCCAGGGGCGCCGAGGAAGAUGAAGAAAUGGAGCAGGCUGUCUCCAGGCAAAGGAGGAGAGAAGGGCAGAAUCCGGAUGGUAUGGAAUGAACAGCAAGGGAGGAAGUGGAAAGGGGAAAUGGGAUUUGCUACUGCUCUAUCAAGUUACAGCGUGCAAAGCUAGCUCCAGGUGAUGGGCUCCUGAGUGUCACCGCCAGGGUACAAACCUCAGUUGUGCCCUCUACUUACUGUGUGACCAUGUGUGAAUGGGCAAACUCUCUGAACUUGAGUUUGCCUCUCAGCAAAACAGUACCUACUUCCUGGGACUGUCAGGGGCACUGAGUGAGAUGACAAGCGACCCUUGGCCCAGCACCUGGUACACAGCAAACACUCCAUCCAAUCCGGACACGAUUAUCAUUCUGCCAGAACUUCUGUGAAAUUUGGUUACAGGAUAAUCACAUCACCUCCUUCAUAGCAGUGCGGAAGUAAAUGACUGGAAAACCUUCAUCGACAGCCGGGAUCAUACCCCGACUAGGUGAGGCCACAGCAAGGAGACAGUCAUCUGCAACACAGGAAGAGGAGCUCCACCAUAACCUGCUCGUGCUGGCCCCUUGAUCUCAGGUGUCCAGCCCCCAGAACUACAAGAAAUAAAUGACUGAUGAGCAAGCUUCCCCCUCCCCGCCCCCGCCAUCUGUGGCAUUUUAUUAUGGGAGCCGGACUCAUACAGGCGUUAUAUGAUUAGAACUGACAGACACCGAAGCCGGCUGAUUCAAGGGCGAGGUCCAGGCUGGAGAUACAAACCCAGGAGGCCUCAGCACACGGACAAAUUUACAGACCCAGCCAUAAAGGAGGAAGGUGAAGUUUAACUGUACCUUGAUAUUCAAUUAGACAGAAGGGUACCAAUAAACCUUGGAAAUGCCAACGC